CCAAUAGCGUAUAUUAAAGUUGUUGCAGUUAAAAAGCUCGUAGUUGAAUUUCGGGGUUAGUAGGUUGGCCAUGCCUCUGGUAUGUACUGGUCUCACUGAUUCCUCCUUCCUGAUGAGCCGUAAUGCCAUUAAUUUGGUGUUGCGGGGAAUUUGGACUGUUACUUUGAAAAAAUUAGAGUGUUUAAAGCAAGCUAACGCUUGAAUACAUUAGCAUGGAAUAAUGAAAUAGGCAGUUCGAUCCUAUUUUGUUGGUUUCUAGGAUUGACGUAAUGAUUAAUAGGGAUAGUUGGGGGCAUUAGUAUUCAAUUGUCAGAGGUGAAAUUCUUGGAUUUAUUGAAGACGAACUACUGCGAAAGCAUUUGCCAAGGAUGUUUUCAUUAAUCAAGAACGAAAGUUAGGGGAUCGAAGACGAUCAGAUACCGUCGUAGUCUUAACCAUAAACUAUGCCGACUAGGGAUCGGAUGAUGUUAAUUUUUUAAUGACUCAUUCGGCGCCUUACG
This 500-nucleotide ribosomal RNA is filed under the name uncultured Glomeromycotina. Its description in RNAcentral is "partial small subunit ribosomal RNA". It matches the Rfam family "Eukaryotic small subunit ribosomal RNA", at positions 591 to 1092 of the family's 1831-position model. Lineage: Eukaryota; Fungi; Glomeromycota. The record is from RNAcentral.